RNAcentral lists this ribosomal RNA (255 nucleotides) under uncultured bacterium. RNAcentral describes it as "partial 16S ribosomal RNA". It matches the Rfam family "Bacterial small subunit ribosomal RNA", at positions 524 to 776 of the family's 1533-position model. The record is from RNAcentral.
UACGUAGGGUGCGAGCGUUUGUCCGGAAUUAUUGGGCGUAAAGAGCUUGUAGGUUGGCUCGUUGCGUCGGGAGUGAAAACCUGCGGCUUAACCGCAGGCCUGCUUCCGAUACGGGCGAGCUAGAGUUCGGCAGGGGAGACUGGAAUUCCUGGUGUAGCGGUGGAAUGCGCAGAUAUCAGGAGGAACACCGGUGGCGAAGGCGGGUCUCUGGGCCGAUACUGACACUGAGAAGCGAAAGCGUGGGGAGCGAACAGG